CAAAAUUAAUGUUUGUGGUGCUUUCCUAGUUACUUGCAGACAUGUGGAGAAUAAUGACAAAUUGAGGUCACCUGAUGUGUGUACUACCAGCUGAUGUUCAACAAGACAGGAGCCUAGCAUAAUCAUCAUCAGAGAGGCUUCAUCCAGCAAAUGAUGGGAGCAGAUGUAAAGAAAAAAUCCCACAGCCAAACAAUAGGCAGAGCACGAGGAAUGCUGCAGAAGAGGAAGAGGAAGAAUUUAUUGUAGGAGCCAGAGGGGUCAAGGACACCACGAGAAAACCCACACAAUCAACUAACCUGGACUCACAGGGGAUCACAGAAACUGAACCUACAACCAGGGAUCCUGCCUGAGUCUGACCUAGGUUACAGAGCCUAGGUCUUUAUCGUUGAAUCCACCCCAGUCACCAGAGAUGGACUUACCUGAGAACUACACGGUCUCAGGAGAAGUGGCUCUUGGAACUGAGGCACAUCCUGAAGGCUGCUCCUGGCCACAUUCUGCUGU
This is a long non-coding RNA of Peromyscus californicus insignis, 501 nucleotides long. RefSeq lists it as uncharacterized. The record is from RefSeq and is a predicted model, not a curated record. NCBI's taxonomy places the organism in Eukaryota, Metazoa, Chordata, Mammalia, Rodentia, Cricetidae. The transcript is spliced from 3 exons.